Molecule: long non-coding RNA, 1566 nt
Organism: Apteryx rowi (Okarito brown kiwi)
Lineage: Eukaryota; Metazoa; Chordata; Aves; Apterygiformes; Apterygidae
Source: Ensembl
AAGAUUAGUACCACACACUGCAGAGAACUGGGGGUGAGCUGCUUUUUCUGGUGACCGAGGACAAGGCAGUUUGUAGUGAUGGAUACACUGGUGUGUUGGGGUUUUUUUGCUAUUGCUUGGCGACAGCUGAAAUAAAAAUAAUGAGUCAGACCCUGAAGAUGAACAGAUGGUAAAGUGUUUUCCCCUAGCCAAUAUGAACUAAGGUGGCUUGAAGAGGAGCGGGGGGUUGGACCGUGGCUCUAAGCUGCGGUGCAGGAAAUCAUCCAAACGAGCGCGGCGUGUCCUGCGCGCAGGCUGCAAAGGGCUGGCUCCGCCACAGCCUGGGCUUCCUGGGGGAGACGGCCCCGUGCGCCUGCAGGAAACCAGCGCGUCCCUGCACGUGGGGGUGGCGUGUGUGAAUGCGUACCCAUCGCAGCCCUGCUUUCGGGAGCUUCACGCUCCUUUCUUGCCAAUACAUCCGUCAUUUGGCGCCCAUCUGGUAACAGUUUCUGCUACUCAAGUGGCAGGCUUCUGCCCUGGUCUACGCACUGAAGGCUCCUGCUGCUUCUGCUCUUGGAGGCCAGGGUAGACAUCGGCAGGGAGCUCCUGCCCCUCUCCUCAUGGCUCCUGGAAAGCGGCAGGCAGUUUCCCGGGAAUGGGGGAAGCACCUCGUCGUGGGACUGCAGCAGUUGCUAUAGGUUUCUGCAGUGGGGGACGAGGAAGCGACAGUGGCACAGUAUCUGUCAGACACUAAAGAGCCACUAAGAUCCUGCAAGCCAGACAGAGCAAGCAGAUGCAUUUUUGAAGCCUCGUCAUGCAUCUGGAAGGGGGAUGGAAGAAGGAAAGUCUACAAGAGGCCAUGAAAUCCUGUUGGGUGAGUUUCCAGGAGCUCGAGGUUUGACACUCUUGUCUACACAGAGCUUUGCUCACUGGUUUUGCUUUGCACUUUCAUUUGGACUUGGCUCACCUAAAAGCAGUUUUGAUUUAUUUCAGUGCUGUUUAUCCAUCUUGGUGCUUUUUUUUUUUCCUAAGGUAACUACGUGAAAGUAGUUACCGUGGAGUUAGUCUUAAUGCGGGCAGACCAGGAAGCUCCGAACCCCACCUUCCAUCAACCUGAUCUUUCAAAUAACAAUGUUAUUGCUGACCUGGAGAGGACCUGUGCUGAGAACCUGCAUCCCUUGCUCUGUUAGAGACACUGUAUGUGUAGGAGAUGCCAAACAUCACAUUUGAUUGGGGGAAGCUGAAGUCGUUCAAGACCAAAUUAACGUGCUAUGCAAUUAUUUGAAAUUUAAAAAACAAACAAAAAAUAGUUGGGGAGCUCUGUUCAUUUUGAUUUAGCCACAGAAUAUUUUUACUAAAACGCCUUCUAAUUCUUGCCUCUUUUUUUUCUUUUCUAUCAUUGGCCCCAGUGCAUUUAAUAUUAACAGCAGUUGAGAAGGGUUGAAAGAGAUUGUUUGAACCAGUCAAGUGCCUUGAAGUUAGUAUUUAUUAAAAAACACAAAACCCUAAAACUCCCCAAACCUCCUGUUAGAACAUGACCUGUAGACACCUCAUUAACUAAGGUGGCUUUGUAGUCAACACCGAGCU